UCUUCUGUAGCCACAACCCAUAGCUGGGAAUGUUCAAUAGUCAAUUCGUUGUUUUCAAAAACGUAUUCGCAAUGUCAUUUGGAGUUCUUUGUGCUUUAAAAAAAUUUACUCGCUUUUCCAGACAAUUCACACGCCCAGUUACUACAUUUAAGAUCACUUAUUCCUUGAUGUAACAAUAGUAGCCUCGCAAUUAGGUCAUAAGUGCCUUCACCGGGCGGAAAUUGGUUCAAUCAUGCGUUUCAAUCCGUUUGCUGAUAAUUCAGAUAAGGUAUAUUUUUUGUUAAUAGUUAAGUGGCAAAUCACGCUGUUAAAGAAUAAAGUUGCUAUAUACUUGUACUUGUUUAUGCCGCGGGUGAACUUCUAAAAAGGUUGCAUACUUCAUUGCAAUUGCUACAAAAGUCUACGAGAGUUGAGACAGCAAAUGCCUCAAAGAGCAAGUUGUCUGACAAAAAUUGAUUGCAAAACACAAGGCGAAAUACAGCUAGACAGCAAGACUUUGAAGACGAUUGAUUUUUGUUAUCGGAAUGCCACUCAGAAUGCCCAUUUCAUUUACGCCAAGAUCAAAGUGUGGUAACAGCAGCCUAAACGAAACGAAGGUUACAAAUAUACUGUAAUUUGGUGAACUGAAUUUCAUUGAAACCGUAUACGUAUAGAACAGCCAUUACAGUUUACCGCAGUAUUAAAAUUCAUUGUCAAAU
Molecule: long non-coding RNA, 698 nt
Organism: Dendronephthya gigantea
Lineage: Eukaryota; Metazoa; Cnidaria; Anthozoa; Malacalcyonacea; Nephtheidae
Exons: 4
Source: RefSeq, a predicted model, not a curated record